AUGAUAGUAUUAUACUGGUAUCCCAUCGUCGCAGCGGCUGCCUUUCUUGGCCUUGUUCAAAGUCCGCACGCACGAGGCCACCAACCCAACCUUUGUGCCAAGUCCAGUCCGGCGGUCAACCCAACCAUCCCGGUCACAGUCCACACCAAUCCCCAGUUCCCCACCCACCCUGCGUGCAGUCCACUGCCUAUUUAA
Molecule: ribosomal RNA, 195 nt
Filed under: Triticum aestivum (bread wheat)
Lineage: Eukaryota; Viridiplantae; Streptophyta; Magnoliopsida; Poales; Poaceae
Description: partial small subunit ribosomal RNA
Source: RNAcentral